Molecule: ribosomal RNA, 252 nt
Filed under: uncultured bacterium
Lineage: Bacteria
Description: partial 16S ribosomal RNA
Rfam family: Bacterial small subunit ribosomal RNA
Source: RNAcentral
UACGUAGGGGGCGAGCGUUAUCCGGAUUCAUUGGGCGUAAAGCGCGCGCAGGCGGGCUUGCAAGCGGGGCCUUUAAUCUUGGGGCUUAACCUCAAGUCGGGUUCCGAACUGCAAGCCUCGAGUGUGGUAGGGGAAGGCGGAAUUCCCGGUGUAGCGGUGGAAUGCGCAGAUAUCGGGAAGAACACCGAUGGCGAAGGCAGCCUUCUGGGCCAUUACUGACGCUGAGGCGCGAAAGCUGGGGGAGCGAACAGG